Molecule: ribosomal RNA, 497 nt
Filed under: uncultured bacterium
Lineage: Bacteria
Description: partial 16S ribosomal RNA
Rfam family: Bacterial small subunit ribosomal RNA
Source: RNAcentral
GAUGAACGCUGGCGGCGUGCCUAAUACAUGCAAGUCGAGCGAACAGAUGAGGAGCUUGCUCCUCUGACGUUAGCGGCGGACGGGUGAGUAACACGUGGAUAACCUACCUAUAAGACUGGGAUAACUUCGGGAAACCGGAGCUAAUACCGGAUAAUAUAUUGAACCGCAUGGUUCAAUAGUUAAAGACGGUUUUGCUGUCACUUAUAGAUGGAUCCGCGCCGCAUUAGCUAGUUGGUAAGGUAACGGCUUACCAAGGCAACGAUGCGUAGCCGACCUGAGAGGGUGAUCGGACACACUGGCACUGAGACACGGUCCAGACUCCUACGGGAGGCAGCAGUAGGGAAUCUUCCGCAAUGGGCGAAAGCCUGACGGAGCAACGCCGCGUGAGUGAUGAAGGUCUUCGGAUCGUAAAACUCUGUUAUUAGGGAAGAACAAAUGUGUAAGUAACUAUGCACGUCUUGACGGUACCUAAUCAGAAAGCCUCGGCUAACUACGUG